RNAcentral lists this long non-coding RNA (1137 nucleotides) under Corvus moneduloides (New Caledonian crow). RNAcentral describes it as "lncRNA (ENSCMUG00000017716.1)". Lineage: Eukaryota; Metazoa; Chordata; Aves; Passeriformes; Corvidae. The record is from RNAcentral.
CCAAGCUCUCUCUCGUUUCCGGUGCUGGGACAGGUGGCUGCGGGCCCCGUGUGGGGGCCAGCGGGCCCGGCCCAGGCCCUUCUUGGGCCAGGCCGGGCAGGGCCACGGCCAUCCUGGAGCCGACGGCCUCCCUGUUCCAUCCGUGGCCCCCCCCACAGCCCUGCUGUGGGCAGCUGGAGCGGCUCGGCUCCCCCCCUCUCCACUUCGAUAAGCCACAUUCCAGCCACAAGGCUGAGGUGAGAUUAACCCUUUUACUGCUGUGAAGAGCUGAAAACCUGAGGGAGAAGAAAGAGGAGAUGCUUAAAGCUGAAAUUCUGUUGUGAAGCUAUGAUAUAUCAGAGUAUCUCAUUGUAAUUUCAUGAAGAUAUGGGGGCUGGAGUGUUCAACUCGUAAGCAAAAGCACCUGCGCUGAGAUAGGCAGAUGCUGACGCAGCUGUAAUUUCAUGAGAAGUUUGGACAGGAAGAGAUGGAAGCGAUGAGGACUUUUGCUCCAAAUGGGAAAGGAGAAAACCUCAGUUCCUAGAGAUGCUCCCAGAGAUAGUCCUAAAGAUGAAGAUGAUGAAGACCCUCUGCUCCCAGGGAAGGAGAAGGGCCUCUGUUCUUAGAGAUGAAUACUCCCAGAGAUGGUGAAGAAAACCUUUGUUUCUGAAUGGCUCAACCUUAAAAUUGUACCCCAAAAACUUCAAGAGUGGACCCUCGAAAGCAGUUGCGGGAAAAGCUGCAAGUCGGGGGAAGGGACUCGCAGGCAGAGAGACUCCUCUUCCUAAAUGGACUGAACAAUAUUUGGAAGUGGGCGGCUGUCUUGUUGUGAUAAUGUUUUCAUAGCAUGAGCAAGAAGAGACUUCUCUUUCUAAAUGGACUGAACAAGGUUAUUAUGGAAGUGGUAACAGACUGAACAUCUUAAGGGUUGUCUUUUUACAUUGUCAGUGGGAGAAGGGAGGAAGGUGGGAGGAGGAGGAGAGUUCUGAAGGUGGUAUAAUUUUUUUUUUCCCCUCUUUUAGGUCUGUUAAUAAACUUCUUUAUAUUCUUUCAAGUUUGGUGCCUGCUUUGCAUUUCUCCUAAUUCUUAUCUCACAGAAGAUAAAUAGUAAUGAGUAUUUUAGACCAAACCACUACACUAAAUUGGUGUUUCCGCCUG